Molecule: long non-coding RNA, 645 nt
Organism: Ornithorhynchus anatinus (platypus)
Lineage: Eukaryota; Metazoa; Chordata; Mammalia; Monotremata; Ornithorhynchidae
Exons: 2
Source: RefSeq, a predicted model, not a curated record
GGGAGAAUGUUGUACUGGAAAAGAGGCUGGAGAGCAGCAGGGAAUCCAGGACUUAGCAGGGUCAAGAUUCUCAGCGGAGGAAUGGAAGAAAGGACACAAGAAGAUGCUGAUCAACUGGCAUUUGUGUUCCAGGACCAUUUAUUUUGGGUUUGAUCCCGGGAAAAUGCUUGCAAAAAACUUCCUGGAUCUAUUGCAGAUAUGACUGUCUCUCUCCACCUGAUAACCCUAAACCAACGUGACUCACGACCCAAGGAGCAUUCUGCGAGAUGGUGCAGGUAGGGCACAAUGCUGUUUGGGAAACAUUGGAGUGCUGCUGUGAUGGCGUGAACAACGUGAUUUAAUUGGUCAAUAUCUCUGGGCUUCUGUUCCGCUGCCUUCAAAUCCAGCCAAGAUACCACCUCGCUUAAUGAUGUUUGGACAAAGGACUUCCAGAAAAUAACUUUGCCAGUGGACGGUGAAAGAAAAUCAAAAGCAAUCAGCGGCCACACAGCUCGCAAACUCAAUCGCAACACAGCGCCCGUUUCCAUUUGAUGGGGUUGGCAUUUCUAAAAACAAUUUCCAGUAGCAAGUGUCUUAGGGAGGUACUGUCUGCACAAUGUCAGAUAGUAAACUGCUUGACAAACAAUUCAGCAUCAAAACCCAAAA